This 77-nucleotide transfer RNA is filed under the name Vibrio parahaemolyticus. Its description in RNAcentral is "tRNA-Arg". It matches the Rfam family "tRNA". From Rfam's summary of the family: Transfer RNA (tRNA) molecules are approximately 80 nucleotides in length. Their secondary structure includes four short double-helical elements and three loops (D, anti-codon, and T loops). Lineage: Bacteria; Pseudomonadati; Pseudomonadota; Gammaproteobacteria; Vibrionales; Vibrionaceae. The record is from RNAcentral.
GCGUCCUUAGCUCAGCUGGAUAGAGUACCUGGCUACGAACCAGGCGGUCGGCGGUUCCCAUCCACCAGGACGCGCCA